This 307-nucleotide long non-coding RNA is filed under the name Bos indicus x Bos taurus (hybrid cattle). RNAcentral describes it as "lncRNA (ENSBIXG00005007713.1)". The record is from RNAcentral. Lineage: Eukaryota; Metazoa; Chordata; Mammalia; Artiodactyla; Bovidae.
UGGAGACCAGGUGGAAGGUAAGAUCUUUGAUUUUCCGAAGGAGAAGACCAGCCACUUUUCAGAGAUUCAGAUUCAGGCACUCUCUGGACUUCAUUAAGAAUGGGUCUCCGUGGCUGAAGAGCAGAUCAGUGUUGUGCUUCGGCAGUGGGUUGUAUCUGCCCAGAAAAGGUCUGAAUUCAGUGAUAUGCCCUUGUGGAACCAAUCACCAGAAAAGGAUGGAAAUGAGAUUACCUUUGGAACACUGUGAAGCUGGGAAUGAGAUCAAAUUUCCCUUAUGGGCUACCUGGAGGAGAAAGUAUUUCCUUGA